UAUCCCUUUUAUUUCCUUUUAG
Molecule: microRNA, 22 nt
Filed under: Mus musculus (house mouse)
Lineage: Eukaryota; Metazoa; Chordata; Mammalia; Rodentia; Muridae
Description: mmu-miR-7061-3p
Source: miRBase by way of RNAcentral